GACGAACGCUGGCGGCGUGCUUAACACAUGCAAGUCGAGCGGAAAGGCCACUUCGGUGGUACUCGAGCGGCGAACGGGUGAGUAACACGUGAGUAAUCUGCCCCUGGCUUUGGGAUAGCCACCGGAAACGGUGAUUAAUACCGGAUACGACCACUUCUCGCAUGGGAUGGUGGUGAAAGUUUUUUCGGCCAGGGAUGUGCUCGCGGCCUAUCAGCUUGAUGGUGAGGUAAUGGCUCACCAUGGCUUCGACGGGUAGCCGGCCUGAGAGGGUGCCCGGUCACACGGGGACUGAGACACGGCCCAGACUCCUACGGGAGGCAGCAGUGGGGAAUAUUGGACAAUGGGCGGAAGCCUGAUCCAGCAACGCCGCGUGAGGGAUGACGGCCUUCGGGUUGUAAACCUCUUUCAGCAGGGACGAAGCGCAAGUGACGGUACCUGCAGAAGAAGCACCGGCCAACUACGUGCCAGCCGCCGCCGUAA
Molecule: ribosomal RNA, 480 nt
Filed under: uncultured bacterium
Lineage: Bacteria
Description: partial 16S ribosomal RNA
Rfam family: Bacterial small subunit ribosomal RNA
Source: RNAcentral